UACAGAGGGGGCAAGCGUUAUUCGGAAUUAUUGGGCGUAAAGGGCGCGUAGGCGGCUUUGCAAGUGGCGGGUGAAAUCCCUCGGCUUAACCGAGGAACUGCCUGCCAGACUGUGAGGCUUGAGACCGGGAGAGGUGAGUGGAACUGCGAGUGUAGAGGUGAAAUUCGUAGAUAUUCGCAAGAACACCAGUGGCGAAGGCGGCUCACUGGCCCGGUACGUGACGCUGAGGUGCGAAAGCGUGGGGAGCAAACAGGG
Molecule: ribosomal RNA, 255 nt
Filed under: uncultured bacterium
Lineage: Bacteria
Description: partial 16S ribosomal RNA
Rfam family: Bacterial small subunit ribosomal RNA
Source: RNAcentral